AUGAAGCCGGAAUCGCUAGUAAUCGCGAAUCAGCAUGUCGCGGUGAAUACGUUCCCGGGCCUUGUACACACCGCCCGUCACACCAUGAGAGUUGGCAAUACCCAACGUACGUGAUCUAACCCGCGAGGGAGGAAGCGUCCUAAGGUAGGGUCAGCGAUUGGGGUGAAGUCGUAACAAGGUAGC
This 183-nucleotide ribosomal RNA is filed under the name uncultured bacterium. RNAcentral's name for it is "partial 16S ribosomal RNA". It matches the Rfam family "Bacterial small subunit ribosomal RNA", at positions 1320 to 1500 of the family's 1533-position model. The record is from RNAcentral.